UACGGAGGGUGCAAGCGUUAUCCGGAUUCACUGGGUUUAAAGGGUGUGUAGGCGGAUUUUUAAGUCAGUGGUGAAAUCUCCGGGCUCAACCCGGAAACUGCCAUUGAUACUAUUAGUCUUGAAUUCUGUUGAGGUGGGCGGAAUACAUCAUGUAGCGGUGAAAUGCUUAGAUAUGAUGUAGAACACCGAUUGCGAAGGCAGCUCACUAAGCAGACAUUGACGCUAAGGCACGAAAGCGUGGGGAUCAAACAGG
RNAcentral lists this ribosomal RNA (253 nucleotides) under uncultured bacterium. Its description in RNAcentral is "partial 16S ribosomal RNA". It matches the Rfam family "Bacterial small subunit ribosomal RNA", at positions 524 to 776 of the family's 1533-position model. The record is from RNAcentral.